RNAcentral lists this ribosomal RNA (468 nucleotides) under uncultured bacterium. RNAcentral describes it as "partial 16S ribosomal RNA". It matches the Rfam family "Bacterial small subunit ribosomal RNA", at positions 28 to 507 of the family's 1533-position model. The record is from RNAcentral.
GACGAACGCUGGCGGCGUGCUUAACACAUGCAAGUCGAACGGAAAGGCCCUGCUUUUGUGGGGUGCUCGAGUGGCGAACGGGUGAGUAACACGUGAGUAACCUGCCCUUGACUUUGGGAUAACUUCAGGAAACUGGGGCUAAUACCGGAUAGGAGCUCCUGCUGCAUGGUGGGGGUUGGAAAGUUUCGGCGGUUGGGGAUGGACUCGCGGCUUAUCAGCUUGUUGGUGGGGUAGUGGCUUACCAAGGCUUUGACGGGUAGCCGGCCUGAGAGGGUGACCGGGCACAUUGGGACUGAGAUACGGCCCAGACUGCUACGGGAGGCAGCAGUGGGGAACAUUGCACAAUGGGCGGAAGCCUGAUGCAGCAACGCCGCGUGCGGGAUGACGGCCUUCGGGUUGUAAACCGCUUUCGCCUGUGACGAAGCGUGAGUGACGGUAAUGGGUAAAGAAGCACCGGCUAACUACGUG